Molecule: long non-coding RNA, 238 nt
Filed under: Linum usitatissimum (flax)
Lineage: Eukaryota; Viridiplantae; Streptophyta; Magnoliopsida; Malpighiales; Linaceae
Description: long non-coding RNA (LUSI_LNC000532)
Source: RNAcentral
AACUGAAGAAAGAGGCUGAAUUCUUGGAGGUUUCAUUCAGAGCAAAAGCAGAAUCUUUAGAGCAAGUAAUGUACAUCUUAACUCAGUGACCUGCAUGAUUAUUUUACAUUACCUUUUUUCUUGAUUUCAUCUCUCUCUCUCUCUCUCUUCAAAGUGAAAAUGUAUAGAUAACGUAAGAACUUACCAUUAGAUAUCUCUGUCCAAAUUUGGGCGUUUCUGAUUUCUACCAAAAAUUUUA